UUGACAGCUCUUGAAAUAAAACACCUUUAUUUGUCUACAAAACAGGUGCAGAAGAGAGACAGAAGCAGUGAAAACUUCCCCACACUACCCCACCAAUGUGACUCAUCUCUGACCUGGAGGGGACCGCUCCCAGUGUUGAAAGAGGAGUUCAGCAUACAUGCUCAAACCAUUGACUCA
This 177-nucleotide small RNA is filed under the name Gopherus agassizii (Agassiz's desert tortoise). RNAcentral describes it as "TUC338 (ENSGAGG00000000227.1)". The record is from RNAcentral. Lineage: Eukaryota; Metazoa; Chordata; Testudines; Testudinidae.